ACCCAAUGGUGGCUCUAUGAGAGGUGUCCCUAUAAAGAGGAGCAUGUAAGGACACAGCCACAGAGAGAGGGGUCACUACAAGAAGCAUAGGAGAAGAUAGAACCUGAAGCCAAAGGGAGGUCUGUAGAAGAAAACAAGCCUGCCUACACCUUCAUCUUCUAGCUUCUGGAACUGUGAGGAAGUGAGCGUCUUCUUAAGCUGGCCAGGCACACCACUCUACUUCUCUCUCAGACCCCUUUUGUGAGCAACAGACUUCCAGGCUCAGGAAAAACUUCCCAGGGCAGGCUGGCUUCGGGGCUACCUUGAGAUAAGUGAUGUUUGCAUGAGUACCUGUGGAGUAUCAGCAAAGCUAGAGAAUGGAGCCGUCUCCUAAGAGGAAGCAGACUCAGGGAAACCCAGCGAUACACAGCGGUAGAAGGCAAGACUCCCAGCUACAGCUGAGACGUGCAGCUCUGAAGCUCAACAAAACCGACACAACGGCUUGUGAAUUCCAGGAGUUUACCAAGUGCAUGAAACCCAUUACAGAAUGCUUUUAAGGGGUUGGAGAUGGCUCAGCGAUUAAGAGCACUGUCUGCUCUUCCAGAGGACCUGGGUUCAAUUCCCAAGACCCACAUGACAGUUCAAAGCUGUCUGUAACUCCUGUUCCUGGGGGUAUGCCACCCCCAUACAGGAACACAAGCAGUCAAAACCCAAUGUAGAUAAAAAAUAAUUUAAAAA
This is a long non-coding RNA of Mus musculus (house mouse), 717 nucleotides long. RefSeq annotates it as predicted gene, 41130. The record is from RefSeq and is a predicted model, not a curated record. The transcript is spliced from 2 exons. Lineage: Eukaryota; Metazoa; Chordata; Mammalia; Rodentia; Muridae.